GGGGAGUUAGCUUAUUGGAUAGAGCGAAGGGUGGCCACACAAAACAGUGCCUUAGACGUAGGUUCAAAUCCUACACUCUCCA
This 82-nucleotide transfer RNA is filed under the name Elizabethkingia meningoseptica. Its description in RNAcentral is "tRNA-OTHER". It matches the Rfam family "tRNA". From Rfam's summary of the family: Transfer RNA (tRNA) molecules are approximately 80 nucleotides in length. Their secondary structure includes four short double-helical elements and three loops (D, anti-codon, and T loops). Lineage: Bacteria; Pseudomonadati; Bacteroidota; Flavobacteriia; Flavobacteriales; Weeksellaceae. The record is from RNAcentral.